This 487-nucleotide long non-coding RNA is filed under the name Rattus norvegicus (Norway rat). RNAcentral describes it as "long non-coding RNA NONRATT008117". Lineage: Eukaryota; Metazoa; Chordata; Mammalia; Rodentia; Muridae. The record is from RNAcentral.
CAAACGUUGAUAACAGUAAAUUUGAGAUGCUGAGACAGAAGGAACACCACAAGUCUAAGUUCAGCCUGACCUUCAGAGCAGGUGUUGAGAUGGCUCAGUCAAUAAAGGCAUUUGCAACCAACCAUGAUACCCUUAGUUUGAUUCCUGAACCCCACAUGGCACGCGAAAAGAACUGACUCAAGCUGCCCUUUGAUUUUCAAACAUAAAUCUGGCUAAACAGUAAUUCUGAGCCAUGGCCUCAAGAUAAACAAGACAAGCUUAAAAGGAUGGAAAGAGGCAAUGGAGAUAAUGUUUUGGAGAAACUGUUUCAGCCAAGCAUGAACUCUGUUUAUUUAGAAAUGAGAUUCCAUAUAUGUGGUACAAGUGAAAAGAAUGUAAAAAAUCCUUUAAAUUUUUUUAUUCUAAAAAGUAACUGUGGAAGAAUAAAAAGUAAAGUGAGUAAGAAAUUAUUAUUUUAUCUAAAAUUUGACAGAUCCUACAGUAAAAG